AAAGAAUAACAAAGGAAGAAAAGAAAGAACAAGAACCCUAGGUGGAGAAUUUCAAGAGAAAAAGUGUGAAAAAUUAAGGAAAACAAGUGAAAUGGUAGGAUUUCUCAAUUUAAACUUGAAAUCUAUUUUCCUUAAGCAUUUCUCCUUAUUUUCCAUGGUUAAAUUUCAUGUUUUCAUGGUGAAUUCAUGGCUAGCCGAAUGGGUAUGGAGAGAAAGUGAUGUUGGAUUGAUUUGAUUUCAAGUUAUGUUAGUGUUUUUAGUUAGUUUACCAUGUCUAGAAGCAAAACAACAAGAAAAUAAUUCAUUUUCCCCAUCACCCAUCAAUGGCCGAACCUACCUUAUAUUGAGUGAGG
This 353-nucleotide long non-coding RNA is filed under the name Theobroma cacao (cacao). Its description in RNAcentral is "long non-coding RNA (TCAC_LNC000443)". The record is from RNAcentral. Lineage: Eukaryota; Viridiplantae; Streptophyta; Magnoliopsida; Malvales; Malvaceae.